Molecule: transfer RNA, 73 nt
Filed under: Vannella simplex
Lineage: Eukaryota; Discosea; Flabellinia; Vannellidae
Description: tRNA-Phe
Rfam family: tRNA
About the family: Transfer RNA (tRNA) molecules are approximately 80 nucleotides in length. Their secondary structure includes four short double-helical elements and three loops (D, anti-codon, and T loops). Further hydrogen bonds mediate the characteristic L-shaped molecular structure. tRNAs have two regions of fundamental functional importance: the anti-codon, which is responsible for specific mRNA codon recognition, and the 3' end, to which the tRNAs corresponding amino acid is attached (by aminoacyl-tRNA synthetases). tRNAs cope with the degeneracy of the genetic code in two manners: having more than one tRNA (with a specific anti-codon) for a particular amino acid; and 'wobble' base-pairing, i.e. permitting non-standard base-pairing at the 3rd anti-codon position.
Source: RNAcentral
AUUUGGAUAGCUCAGUUGGUAGAGCGGAAGCUUGAAAAGCUUUGUGUCGGUGGUUCAAGUCCAUCUCCAGGCA